UUUUUUAUGAUAUUUAUGAAUAUAAGGUAGGAUCUGCCCACUGAAUAUAUUUGAAGGGGUGCGGUAUUUUAACUGUACUAAGGUAGCAUAAUCAUUUGUUUUUUAAUUGAAAACUGGUAUGAAGGAUUAUACAGGAAAAUGCUUUAUUAAUUAUUAUUUUUGAAUUUAGAAUUUUAGUAAAAAUACUAGAUUUUUAUUGUGGGACGAUAAGACCCUAUUGAGCUUUAAAUAUAUGUGURUGUUUGGUUGACUGUGGAUAUGUACAAUUGUUUUUUACUGGGGUGGUAUAAAUAAACAUUUGUAAGUGAUUAGUAUAUUUUGAUCCAUUAUUAAUGAUAAUAAGAAUGAGUUACUGUAGGGAUAACAGCAUAAUUUUUUUAUAGAGUUCUUAUCGAUAAAUUAGUUUGUGACCUCGAUGUUGAAUCAAUUACCUAUUAGGUGGAGGAGCUUAUUUGUGGUAGACUGUUCGUCUAUUAAAGAGUUACG
RNAcentral lists this ribosomal RNA (486 nucleotides) under Trogulus nepaeiformis. Its description in RNAcentral is "partial 16S ribosomal RNA". It matches the Rfam family "Bacterial large subunit ribosomal RNA", at positions 1819 to 2600 of the family's 2925-position model. Lineage: Eukaryota; Metazoa; Arthropoda; Arachnida; Opiliones; Trogulidae. The record is from RNAcentral.